GUGACCUGCGGACAGAUCAUUAUUGAAUUAUACACUGAUGGGCUGUUGCUGGUUCUCUCGGGAACAUGUGCACGCCUUGUCAUCUUUAUAUCUCCACCUGUGCCCUUUUUGUAGACCCCUCCAGGUCUAUGUCGCUUCAUUUACCCCCAAUGUAUGUUGAUAGAAUGUCGUGACUAUAUAAAAUCUAUACAACUUUCAGCAACGGAUCUCUUGGCUCUCGCAUCAAUGAAGAACGCAACGAAAUGCGAUAAGUAAUGUGAAUUGCAUAAUUCAGUGAAUCAUCUAAUCUUUGAACGCACCUUGCGCUCCUUGGUAUUCCGAGGAGCAUGCCUGUUUGAGUGUCAUUAAUAUAUAUCAACCACUCUUCUUGAGUGGCUUGGAUGUGGGGGGUUUGCUGGCCUGUUGACCUCCCCUGAAAUGCAUUAUCGGAACAACAUGUUCAUUCAUUGGUGUGAUAACUAUCUACUCUAUUGAGUGCGAGGCGGUUCAACUUCUUAACGGUCCUCGGACAGUUUUUAUCAUUUUAUGUGACCUCAAAUCUGGUAGGACUACCCGCUGAACUUAAGCAUAUCAAUAAGCGGAGGAAAAGAAACUAACAAGGAUUCCCCUAGUAACUGCGAGUGAAGCGGGAAAAGCUCAAAUUUAAAAUCUGGCGGUCUUUUGGCUGUCCGAGUUGUAAUCUAGAGAAGCGU
Molecule: ribosomal RNA, 692 nt
Filed under: uncultured fungus
Lineage: Eukaryota; Fungi
Description: eukaryotic LSU rRNA
Rfam family: 5.8S ribosomal RNA (bases 191-344)
Source: RNAcentral